This is a long non-coding RNA of Brassica rapa (field mustard), 875 nucleotides long. RefSeq lists it as uncharacterized. NCBI's taxonomy places the organism in Eukaryota, Viridiplantae, Streptophyta, Magnoliopsida, Brassicales, Brassicaceae. The record is from RefSeq and is a predicted model, not a curated record.
GCUAAGUAAACUAAAUGUUAUAGAGUGAGUUCUAACAAAUUAUGAAAUUUAUUAUUGUGUUUUUUUCAUUUUUGUAAGUGAAAGGUUUAUCUUUGGUGAUGAACUAAAUAAAUAAUUGCACAUACUAUUUUUGCAAAUAAUCACGAAAAUGCAAGAAAUACAAGUAAAUGGAUAUACCUUUUUGGUUAUAAGUGUAUGCCUGAUAAAGUUUUACUAGUUGUAUCUUUUACAUGUGUAUGGUAUAUAAUUUUAUAUACUGUGUUCUUUUUUUAAUAUAUUUUUUUAAUUUUUUUUAUAUAUACUGUGUUCAUUAUACAACAAAAUUGUCUUUCAAAAAUAUGUAGUGAGUAAACAUUUAUAUAAACAAUGUUAAUAAAUGUGGUUACUAUGUAAAAUUCAAAGUUACGUAGUACGUACUAAGUUACAGAAAAUAAUUAUUAUGCAAGAAAUUUUUUAUUUUUUUUUGAGAAAAAGUUUCUUUGUUUUUUCUCCAAAUAAAAACAAAUUAAUAUUUCAAACAAGACAAAAAUAAAGAAUAAAUAAAACAACAAUCAUUACUGUCAAUUAUCACGGGAAAAGAUUAUUAAAAAUGUCCACCAUAGAAAUCUCAUCAUGUUUCUUUUGGUUCUUGCAAGUCUUAAUAAAAUACUCCGUAUGUAGCAAAGUUUUUUGUUCAAAAAAAAAAGUAUGUAGCAAAAUUGACUCUGAAAUAUCAAAAGAAACUUUCGUUCACUAUUAGUCGAAAUCCGAAGAUAUUCCGAAUUCGAACUAGGCAGGGUGGUAGUAAAUCCACUGUUCAGUAUUAAAAACGUUUUUCCAAACUAACCAAAUCAACCAAAAUGAUUUAUCAAAGAAAUAUCAAACAAAAAAUGAUU